UAAAUUAGCUUUGAUGCUGCAUAAAUUAAUAUCAGCAUGUUAGCAAAGGAAAAUUGGCAUCCCUCGGCACUAUGGCCUUAAGCUGUGCAGCGUUGUUGAUUCUUCUUUGAGACACCGUUCCACACGCACUCCCAUUUCUGCUCGUUGGGUGUUCAUAUAGAGCGUACCAUACUACAUCGUGAAGGUAGACUAAUCGUGCAAUUCUUUCAAACUCCCAAUGUCUCCCUUUCCCAUCGAAAUAUAUGUUAAGAGAGCAAUGAAAUACACCUUGCAUUCAGAGCAUCUUCAAGCUGAUAUUGACAGUAAGAUGAC
Molecule: long non-coding RNA, 312 nt
Filed under: Oryza brachyantha (malo sina)
Lineage: Eukaryota; Viridiplantae; Streptophyta; Magnoliopsida; Poales; Poaceae
Description: long non-coding RNA (OBRA_LNC002611)
Source: RNAcentral